AUUGAACGCUGGCGGCAGGCCUAACACAUGCAAGUCGAACGGUAGCACAGAGGAGCUUGCUCCUUGGGUGACGUGUGGCGGACGGGUGAGUAAUGUCUGGGAAACUGCCCGAUGGAGGGGGAUAACUACUGGAAACGGUAGCUAAUACCGCAUAACGUCGCAAGACCAAAGAGGGGGACCUUCGGGCCUCUUGCCAUCGGAUGUGCCCAGAUGGGAUUAGCUAGUAGGUGGGGUAACGGCACACCUAGGCGACGAUCCCUAGCUGGUCUGAGAGGAUGACCAGCCACACUGGAACUGAGACACGGUCCAGACUCCUACGGGAGGCAGCAGUGGGGAAUAUUGCACAAUGGGCGCAAGCCUGAUGCAGCCAUGCCGCGUGUAUGAAGAAGGCCUUCGGGUUGUAAAGUACUUUCAGCGAGGAGGAAGGCGUUGUGGUUAAUAACCGCAGCGAUUGACGUUACUCGCAGAAGAAGCACCGGCUAACUCCGUGCCAGCCGCCGCGGUAAAAGGG
This 511-nucleotide ribosomal RNA is filed under the name uncultured Enterobacterales bacterium. RNAcentral describes it as "bacterial SSU rRNA". It matches the Rfam family "Bacterial small subunit ribosomal RNA", at positions 29 to 528 of the family's 1533-position model. The record is from RNAcentral. Lineage: Bacteria; Pseudomonadati; Pseudomonadota; Gammaproteobacteria; Enterobacterales.